This 497-nucleotide ribosomal RNA is filed under the name uncultured bacterium. RNAcentral's name for it is "partial 16S ribosomal RNA". It matches the Rfam family "Bacterial small subunit ribosomal RNA", at positions 28 to 507 of the family's 1533-position model. The record is from RNAcentral.
GAUGAACGCUGGCGGCGUGCCUAAUACAUGCAAGUCGAGCGAACAGACGAGGAGCUUGCUCCUCUGACGUUAGCGGCGGACGGGUGAGUAACACGUGGAUAACCUACCUAUAAGACUGGGAUAACUUCGGGAAACCGGAGCUAAUACCGGAUAAUAUAUUGAACCGCAUGGUUCAAUAGUGAAAGACGGUUUUGCUGUCACUUAUAGAUGGAUCCGCGCCGCAUUAGCUAGUUGGUAAGGUAACGGCUUACCAAGGCGACGAUGCGUAGCCGACCUGAGAGGGUGAUCCGGCAAACUGGAACUGAGACACGGUCCAGACUCCUAAGGGAGGCAAGAAGAGGGAAACUUCCGCAAUGGGCGAAAGCCUGAAGGAGCAACGCCGCGUGAGUGAUGAAGGGUUUCGGAUCGUAAAACUCUGUUAAUAGGGAAGAAAAAAUGUGUAAGUAACUAUGCACGUCUUGACGGUACCUAAUCAGAAAGCCACGGCUAACUACGUG